GGGGAGGCUCCCAAGGCGGGGCCAUACCAAUGGAGCGUACCAUUUUUUUUAAUUAGGGGGGAAACUGCGAAACAAGCCGGAACAGAUGGAGAGAUAGAGUGAUCUUGAUAGGCUAUACCUCCCUCGCAGCUCAGGUGGAAGAGGAAUGCUGCAAGUCCAUCAAACAGUAGAGGAGGAGAAAAGAGGCCUUGAAGAAUAUAUAAGGGACAGUGAAGAAGAUGCACUUCAAAUGGUCAAGAACGCGAAACUAUUCAACACCAAUGAAACAAAACAGGCCUACAAGAAAGAACAAGUCAAGAACCGAGCAGAAAAAUGGAGAAAUAAGCCCCUGCAUGGUCAAUAUUUACACAAUAUAAGUGGAAAAUCAGACAUCACCAAGACCUGGCAAUGGCUUAAGAAUGGCAACUUGAAGAAAGAAACAGAGGGUUUAAUACUGGCUGCACAAGAACAGGCACUAAGAACACAUGCAAUAAGAGCAAAAGUCGAAAAAUCCACAACAAACUGCAAGUGCCGCCUUUGUAAAGAAGCAGAUGAAACAGUGGACCACCUGAUCAGCUGUUGUAAAAAGAUCGCACAGACUGACUACAAACAAAGGCAUGACGAGGUAGCAGGGAUGAUACACUGGAACAUCUGCAAAAAAUACAAGCUACCUUUAGCCAAGAAUUGGUGGGACCAUAAAAUUGAAAAAGCUGAAGAAAAUGAAGAUGUAAAAAUAUUAUGGGACUUCCAACUACAAACAGAGAAACAUCUGCCACACAAUACACCAGAUAUCACUGUAGUUGCGAAGAAAGAAAAACAAGUCAAAAUAAUCGACAUAGCAAUACCAGGGGAUAGCAGAAUAGAAGAAAAAGAAAUAUUAAAAAAUCACCAAAUACAAAGAUCUACAAAUUGAAAUUGAAAGGCUGUGGCAGAAGAAGACCAAAAUAAUCCCAGUUGUAAUUGGCGCCCUGGGUGCAGUUCCAAAAGACCUUGAAGAGCACCUCAACACCAUAGGGGCCACAGAAAUCACCAUCAGCCAAUUACAAAAAGCAGCUUUACUGGGAACAGCCUAUAUUCUGCGACGAUAUCUAUAACCAUUGACAAUAAAAUUCUGGCAUCCCAGGUCCUUGGGAAGGACUCGAUGUCUGGAUAAAACAAACCAGUCAAUAAGACCCGUCUGACUGUGUAAACAAGAAAUAAUAAUAUGUCUCUGAUCUCCUCCCUCCCCUUCUGUGUUGAGAAGCUCCAGUUAUUUUGUAAGCAAGUGGAAGAGGAGGGAGGUGUGGGGUUUGGGAUCUGUGGGUGGAAAGGAGGGGAAAGCCAAGAUUUCUCCCUGCCUGUUUCUAUCUCUGAGGCGAAAGGAUGGAGGAAACAAGCAGGGGUGGGGGCAAAGAACUGUUCACACUGUAAAACGCUACAACGAAUAAAAUGAGGGGCAAGGCUUCCUACAACGGAAAAAUGUAGUUACUUUCCUGCAGUGCAUUUACAAUUUUGUAGGGCAAAAACGCAUCAUUAAAAUUCGAAUCAAGGCAUGGGAAAUGUGAACGCAUUCUGCUGACAACGUAGCAACACCGAUGUGGAAACACAGGCAAUAUGGAGGGGCACUUAGAGGAUAUGGUGUGAGUAUGUUGCAGUGUGUAAUCUGGAAAAUGCCCUGGAGAUGUAUGCCAGGGACUGAAUCUUGUACAUGUGUGUGUAUUGUAGUAGUAGUAGUAGCUAUAUUAAUGGGAUAGAUUCUACUUCCUUAGAACUAGAAGUGUUUGUGUAAGUUGGCAGCAAUAACAAAAGGUUAUUGAGUUGCGGAAGGGUUGGGGACAGAUUAGCUUUUACUGGCUUUCAUGAUUUCAGCCUGGGAUAGGGUUCUAUGUUUGAACAUUCUUCCCUGCACAUCUUCAAUACAAAUACAAGCAGUAGCUUCCCCCUGCACAUAGAAAUAUAAUGUGCCAUGAAGAAUGCUGGGUUGAACUUUUCUCCUUACACAGUACUUUCCUGUAUGCCACAAACAUCAUAUUUUUAGAGGGAAGCAUUUAGGGGAAAUAUGAGAAAGCAAUUCAGUGGUGCACUUCAGCACAACAUUUGCCACUUGAAAUGGACUUGAGGGGGCAAGGAGGCAUCAGAAUAGCUUUCACCUGAUAAUCCCCCCACCCCACUGCCCCCUUUAAAAAAUCUGUAGAAACUACUGGUGGAGAGUUCAGUACACACUGUAAACUACAUAUUUGGGGCUAUGAACCAAUCCAAACCUCUAAACACACUCACCUCCAGAGUCAUAUUUUUAUUAUUAAGCUAGGUAGUGAUGGACAAAACAGGUGUGCUUUCUUUAGGGGAGGAAAAGCUACAAAUACUGUUCAUCAAUUCCAGAUAAACCCAUUUCCAAGACUGACCUACCAGGAAAGCUGCAUGACGAAUCAUUGGGACCUCACCAGCCUGAUCUACGGAUCACACAAAAAGAGACUGGACGCACACAUAGAUUCUCAAACACAUGGUACUCCAAAACAAAGUGGCUAUGUGGCUGCCCGAUUAAAAAUCCUUUCCUCCCCCA
Long non-coding RNA from Hemicordylus capensis (graceful crag lizard), 2518 nucleotides. RefSeq lists it as uncharacterized. The transcript has 2 exons. NCBI's taxonomy places the organism in Eukaryota, Metazoa, Chordata, Lepidosauria, Squamata, Cordylidae. The record is from RefSeq and is a predicted model, not a curated record.